GCCGGAGCAAGAACAACAGGGAUUGCCUUAGUAGCGGCGAGUGAAGCGGCAAAAGCUCAAAUUUGAAAUCUGGCUCUUUCAGAGUCCGAGUUGUAAUUUGAAGAAGGUAUCUUUGGGUCUGGCUCUUGUCUAUGUUUCUUGGAACAGAACGUCACAGAGGGUGAGAAUCCCGUGCGAUGAGAUGAUCCAGGCCUAUGUAAAGUUCCUUCGAAGAGUCGAGUUGUUUGGGAAUGCAGCUCUAAGUGGGUGGUAAAUUCCAUCUAAAGCUAAAUAUUGGCGAGAGACCGAUAGCGAACAAGUACAGUGAUGGAAAGAUGAAAAGAACUUUGAAAAGAGAGUGAAAAAGUACGUGAAAUUGUUGAAAGGGAAGGGCUUGAGAUCAGACUUGGUAUUUUGUAUGUUACUUCUUCGGGGGUGGCCUCUACAGUUUAUCGGGCCAGCAUCAGUUUGGGCGGUAGGAGAAUUGCGUUGGAAUGUGGCACGGCUUCGGAUGUGUGUUAUAGCCUUCGUCGAUACUGCCAGCCUAGACUGAGGACUGCGGUUUAUACCUAGGAUGUUGGCAUAAUGAUCUUAAGUCGCCCGUCUCAACACACGAAACAACA
This 602-nucleotide ribosomal RNA is filed under the name Candida tropicalis. RNAcentral describes it as "LSU rRNA". It matches the Rfam family "Eukaryotic large subunit ribosomal RNA", at positions 49 to 671 of the family's 3401-position model. The record is from RNAcentral. Lineage: Eukaryota; Fungi; Ascomycota; Pichiomycetes; Serinales; Debaryomycetaceae.